AGCGGUGAGGAUUGGCAUCCCGUUUGGGUUCAUACCUCAAAUCGCGUUGGUUCGAUUCCAACCGCCGCUACCA
Molecule: transfer RNA, 73 nt
Filed under: Patescibacteria group bacterium
Lineage: Bacteria
Description: tRNA-Met
Rfam family: tRNA
About the family: Transfer RNA (tRNA) molecules are approximately 80 nucleotides in length.
Source: RNAcentral